This 245-nucleotide ribosomal RNA is filed under the name uncultured Gardnerella sp. RNAcentral describes it as "partial 16S ribosomal RNA". It matches the Rfam family "Bacterial small subunit ribosomal RNA", at positions 109 to 355 of the family's 1533-position model. Lineage: Bacteria; Bacillati; Actinomycetota; Actinomycetes; Bifidobacteriales; Bifidobacteriaceae. The record is from RNAcentral.
AGUGAUGCGUGACAACCUGCCCCAUGCUCCAGAAUAGCUCUUGGAAACGGGUGGUAAUGCUGGAUGCUCCAACUUGACGCAUGUCUUGUUGGGAAAGUGUUUAGUGGCAUGGGAUGGGGUCGCGUCCUAUCAGCUUGUAGGCGGGGUAAUGGCCCACCUAGGCUUCGACGGGUAGCCGGCCUGAGAGGGCGGACGGCCACAUUGGGACUGAGAUACGGCCCAGACUCCUACGGGAGGCAGCAGCC